UUAAGUUAUUAAGGGCGCACGGUGGAUGCCUUGGCACUAGAAGCCGACGAAGGACGUUACUAACGACGAUAUGCUUUGGGGAGCUGUAAGUAAGCUUUGAUCCAGAGAUUUCCGAAUGGGGAAACCCAGCACGAGUUAUGUCGUGUUAUCGAUAUGUGAAUACAUAGCAUAUCUGAAGGCAGACGCGGAGAACUGAAACAUCUUAGUACCCGCAGGAAGAGAAAGAAAAAUCGAUUCCCUGAGUAGCGGCGAGCGAAACGGGAAGAGCCCAAACCAACGAGCUUGCUUGUUGGGGUUGUAGGACACUCUAUACGGAGUUACAAAAGAACAGACUAGACGAAUCAUCUGGAAAGAUGAAUCAAAGAAGGUAAUAAUCCUGUAGUCGAAAGUUUGUUCACUCUUGAGUGGAUCCUGAGUACGACGGAACACGAGAAAUUCCGUCGGAAUCUGGGAGGACCAUCUCCCAAGGCUAAAUACUUUCUAGUGACCGAUAGUGAACCAGUACCGUGAGGGAAAGGUGAAAAGUACCCCGGAAGGGGAGUGAAAUAGAACUUGAAACCGUGUGCUUACAAGUAGUCAGAGCCCGUUAAUGGGUGAUGGCGUGCCUUUUGUAGAAUGAACCGGCGAGUUACGAUUUGAUGCAAGGUUAAGCAGUGAAUGUGGAGCCGUAGCGAAAGCGAGUCUGAAUAGGGCGUUGAGUAUUUGGUCGUAGACCCGAAACCAGGUGAUCUACCCAUGACCAGGUUGAAGUUCAGGUAACACUGAAUGGAGGACCGAACCGACUUACGUUGAAAAGUGAGCGGAUGAGUUGUGGGUAGCGGAGAAAUUCCAAUCGAACCUGGAGAUAGCUGGUUCUCUCCGAAAUAGCUUUAGGGCUAGCCUCAAGUGAUGAUUAUUGGAGGUAGAGCACUGUUUGGACGAGGGGCCCUUAUCGGGUUACCGAAUUCAGACAAACUCCGAAUGCCAAUCAAUUUAACUUGGGAGUCAGAACGCGGGUGAUAAGGUCCGUGUUCGAAAGGGAAACAGCCCAGACCACCAGCUAAGGUCCCAAAAUAUAUGUUAAGUGGAAAAGGAUGUGGCGUUGCCCAGACAACUAGGAUGUUGGCUUAGAAGCAGCCAUCAUUUAAAGAGUGCGUAAUAGCUCACUAGUCGAGUGACACUGCGCCGAAAAUGUACCGGGGCUAAACAUAUUACCGAAGCUGUGGAUUGUCCGUAAGGACAAUGGUAGGAGAGCGUUCUAAGGGCGUUGAAGCAUGAUCGCAAGGACAUGUGGAGCGCUUAGAAGUGAGAAUGCCGGUGUGAGUAGCGAAAGACGGGUGAGAAUCCCGUCCACCGAUUGACUAAGGUUUCCAGAGGAAGGCUCGUCCGCUCUGGGUUAGUCGGGUCCUAAGCUGAGGCCGAUAGGCGUAGGCGAUGGAUAACAGGUUGAUAUUCCUGUACCACCAUUAUUCGUUUUAAGCGAUGGGGGGACGCAGUAGGAUAGGCGAAGCGUACGAUUGGAUUGUACGUCCAAGCAGUGAGAUUGAGUGUUAGGCAAAUCCGGCACUCUUAAGAUUGAGCUGUGAUGGGGAGAGGAAAUUGUUUCCUCGAGUCGUUGAUUUCACACUGCCAAGAAAAGCCUCUAGCUAGAAUUGUGGUGCCCGUACCGCAAACCGACACAGGUAGUCAAGAUGAGAAUUCUAAGGUGAGCGAGCGAACUCUCGUUAAGGAACUCGGCAAAAUGACCCCGUAACUUCGGGAGAAGGGGUGCUCUUUAGGGUUAACGCCCAGGAGAGCCGCAGUGAAUAGGCCCAAGCGACUGUUUAUCAAAAACACAGGUCUCUGCUAAACCGUAAGGUGAUGUAUAGGGGCUGACGCCUGCCCGGUGCUGGAAGGUUAAGAGGAGUGGUUAGCUUCUGCGAAGCUACGAAUCGAAGCCCCAGUAAACGGCGGCCGUAACUAUAACGGUCCUAAGGUAGCGAAAUUCCUUGUCGGGUAAGUUCCGACCCGCACGAAAGGCGUAACGAUUUGGGCACUGUCUCAACGAGAGACUCGGUGAAAUCAUAGUACCUGUGAAGAUGCAGGUUACCCGCGACAGGACGGAAAGACCCCGUGGAGCUUUACUGUAGUCUGAUAUUGAAAUUCGGCACAGCUUGUACAGGAUAGGUAGGAGCCUGAGAUACGUGAGCGCUAGCUUACGUGGAGGCGUUGGUGGGAUACUACCCUCGCUGUGUUGGAUUUCUAACCCGCACCAUUUAUCAUGGUGGGAGACAGUGUCAGAUGGGCAGUUUGACUGGGGCGGUCGCCUCCUAAAGAGUAACGGAGGCGCUCAAAGGUUUCCUCAGAAUGGUUGGAAAUCAUUCAUAGAGUGUAAAGGCAUAAGGAAGCUUGACUGCGAGACUUACAAGUCGAGCAGGGUCGAAAGACGGACUUAGUGAUCCGGUGGUUCCGCAUGGAAGGGCCAUCGCUCAACGGAUAAAAGCUACCCCGGGGAUAACAGGCUUAUCUCCCCCAAGAGUUCACAUCGACGGGGAGGUUUGGCACCUCGAUGUCGGCUCAUCGCAUCCUGGGGCUGUAGUCGGUCCCAAGGGUUGGGCUGUUCGCCCAUUAAAGCGGUACGCGAGCUGGGUUCAGAACGUCGUGAGACAGUUCGGUCCCUAUCCGUCGUGGGCGUAGGAAAUUUGAGAGGAGCUGUCCUUAGUACGAGAGGACCGGGAUGGACAUACCUCUGGUGUACCAGUUGUCGUGCCAACGGCAUCGCUGGGUAGCUAUGUAUGGACGGGAUAAGUGCUGAAAGCAUCUAAGCAUGAAGCCCCCCUCAAGAUGAGAUUUCCCAACUUCGGUUAUAAGAUCCCUCAAAGAUGAUGAGGUUAAUAGGUUCGAGGUGGAAGCAUAGCGAUAUGUGCAGCUGACGAAUACUAAUCGAUCGAAGACUUAAUCAA
The sequence is a ribosomal RNA, 2921 nucleotides long. It matches the Rfam family "Bacterial large subunit ribosomal RNA".